UUAUUCAGCCUCAAUAUCAGUUUCAUAUCAAAACAAAUUACACCCUAAAUUAAAUAUCAAACCCAAAUUGAACAUUAAUUCAGCCAAGUUCAUCAGUUUCAUAACAGAAUAAAUUAAACCCUAAAUUCAAACCCAAAAUCAGUUGCAUAAUAUACACAAUAUUCAAAAUAUUCAAAAUCUAACACAAUUAAUUGAAUAUAGAAAUUGUUUACUUGAAUGCUAAAGAUAUGAGGGAGGAGAUACCCACGACGUUAUCGCCGAUACCCAAGACGUCCCCGGAAAGCCAAAGUCAACCUCGACAGAGAGAGGAAGAAGGCUUGAACUGUGGGGACGAAGGUUUGACCCUUAUAUCGAUCUAUAUACUGUGUGCGUGAGAGAAAGGACGUCGUCGGCGAGAGGGCGAGAGGGCGAGGGAGCGACGGAGGGAGGAGGUUCCGGACAGAGAGAGUGAGGAACUAGGAAAUUUCGUCGUCGCUAGAGAGAUACUCCCUCAGUUCCGUUCCAUAUUAACUGACCUUAUACUCAAUUUUUUUGUUCCCAAAUAUUGUACUCCUCUCUCUCCUUCCUAUUAGUCCUAACGAAAAUUAAAGACUUGAAAUUCUCUCCUUCUCCUUACCGGAGUAUGAAAAAUUAAAGACUUAAAAAUUCUCUCUUUCCGAUUGGACUCCUUUAUCUUUUUAUGUAUAUCCGUGCAAUUCUCUCUCUCCUUCCUAU
RNAcentral lists this long non-coding RNA (714 nucleotides) under Panax ginseng (ginseng). RNAcentral describes it as "long non-coding RNA (PGIN_LNC019061)". Lineage: Eukaryota; Viridiplantae; Streptophyta; Magnoliopsida; Apiales; Araliaceae. The record is from RNAcentral.